AACUUUCGAUGGUAGGAUAGAGGCCUACUAUGGUGGUGACGGGUGACGGAGAAUUAGGGUUCGAUUCCGGAGAGGGAGCCUGAGAAACGGCUACCACAUCCAAGGAAGGCAGCAGGCGCACAAAUUACCCAAUCCCGACAUGGGGAGGUAGUGACAAUAAAUAACAAUACAGGGUUCUUUUGGAUCUUGUAAUUGGAAUGAGUACAAUUUAAAUCUCUUAACGAGGAACAAUUGGAGGGCAAGUCUGGUGCCAGCAGCCGCGGUAAUUCCAGCUCCAAUAGCGUAUAUUAAAGUUGUUGCAGUUAAAAAGCUCGUAGUUGAACUUCGGGAUCAAUGAAUCGGUCAUGCUUUCGUAUGUACUGGUUUUAUUGGUUCUCACCUUCUAAGGAACCUUAAUGUCAUUCAUUUGAUGUUUUGGGGAAUUAGGACUGUUACCUUGAAAAAAUUAGAGUGUUUAAAGCAGGCUAACGCUUGAAUACAUUAGCAUGGAAUAAUGAAAUAGGACGUCGCAUUCUAUUUUGUUGGUUUCUAGGAUCGAUGUAAUGAUUAAUAGGGAUAGUUGGGGGCAUUAGUAUUCAAUUGUCAGAGGUGAAAUUCUUGGAUUUAUUGAAGACUAACUACUGCGAAAGCAUUUGCCAAGGAUGUUUUCAUUAAUCAAGAACGAAAGUUAGGGGAUCGAAGACGAUCAGAUACCGUCGUAGUCUUAACCAUAAACUAUGCCGACUAGGGAUCGGAUGAUGUUGAUUUUUUAAUGACUCAUUCGGCACCUUACGGGAAACCAAAGUGUUUGGGUUC
Molecule: ribosomal RNA, 795 nt
Filed under: uncultured Glomus
Lineage: Eukaryota; Fungi; Glomeromycota; Glomeromycetes; Glomerales; Glomeraceae
Description: SSU rRNA
Rfam family: Eukaryotic small subunit ribosomal RNA
Source: RNAcentral